GACGAACCACACAAACGUUAUUCGGAAUUACUGGGCUUAAAGGGUGCGUAGGCGGCGCAGAAAGUAGGGUGUGAAAUCCCUCGGCUCAACCGAGGAACUGCGCCCUAAACUACUGUGCUCGAGGGAGGUAGAGGUGAGCGGAACUUAGGGUGGAGCGGUGAAAUGCGUUGAUAUCCUAAGGAACACCGGUGGCGAAGGCGGCAUCCUGGACCGGCAUUGACGCUGAGGAGCGAAAGCUAGGGGAGCAAACGGG
This 253-nucleotide ribosomal RNA is filed under the name uncultured bacterium. Its description in RNAcentral is "partial 16S ribosomal RNA". It matches the Rfam family "Bacterial small subunit ribosomal RNA", at positions 524 to 776 of the family's 1533-position model. The record is from RNAcentral.